ACGAAGGGUGCAAGCGUUGUUCGGAAUCAUUGGGCGUAAAGCGCGCGCAGGCGGAUUGAUAAGUCAGGUGUGAAAUCUCGGAGCUCAACUCCGAAACUGCGCCUGAAACUAUUAGUCUAGAAUGUCAGAGGGGGUAGGGGAAUUUCACGUGUAGGGGUAAAAUCCGUAGAGAUGUGAAGGAACACCGGUGGCGAAGGCGCCUACCUGGAUGACUAUUGACGCUGAGGCGCGAAAGCGUGGGGAGCAAACAGGA
This 253-nucleotide ribosomal RNA is filed under the name uncultured prokaryote. Its description in RNAcentral is "partial 16S ribosomal RNA". It matches the Rfam family "Bacterial small subunit ribosomal RNA", at positions 525 to 777 of the family's 1533-position model. The record is from RNAcentral.